CGGGGCUACGGGGAGAGCGCUCGCACCGCCCGGGCAGGAGGACAUAGUGGCUGAGCGCUUUUUCCCCUCCGACCCCCCGCUUCCGUGGGAGCGGCAGGAAAUGGAAGGGCCCCUCUCCUCUCUCUGAACAGUUGAUCUCUCUUUUUGUGUUUCUUUCCUCCACCUCUCCAGAAGGGAAGACGGGGAAAGCGGGCAGGCGGCUCGGCGGGUGCGUUCUCCCCUCCUCCGCCGUGUCCCCUCGGCUGUGCAGGGACUGGCCAUGGGGCUGCUCCAGGUGUUCGCUUUCAGUUUCUUAGCCCUGUGCGGAGCCCAAGUGCGCGCUCAAGAACCCGAAUUCAGCUACGGCUGCGCGGAGGGCAGCUGCUACCCCGCCACUGGCGACCUUCUCAUCGGCCGAGCACAAAAGCUCUCGGUGACCUCGACGUGCGGGCUGCACAAGCCUGAGCCCUACUGUAUUGUCAGCCACCUCCAGGAGGACAAAAAAUGCUUCAUAUGCAAUUCACAAGAUCCUUAUCAUGAGACCCUCAAUCCUGACAGUCAUCUCAUUGAAAAUGUGGUCACUACGUUUGCUCCAAACCGCCUUAAGAUUUGGUGGCAAUCCGAAAAUGGCGUGGAAAACGUAACUAUCCAACUGGAUCUGGAAGCAGAAUUCCAUUUUACUCAUCUCAUAAUGACUUUCAAGACAUUCCGUCCAGCCGCGAUGCUGAUAGAACGAUCGUCUGACUUCGGGAAAACCUGGGGUGUGUACAGAUACUUUGCCUAUGACUGUGAGGGCUCAUUUCCAGGCAUUUCAACUGGCCCCAUGAAAAAAGUGGAUGAUAUAAUCUGUGAUUCCCGCUAUUCUGACAUUGAACCCUCGACGGAAGGAGAGGUGAUAUUUCGUGCUUUAGAUCCCGCGUUCAGAAUAGAAGAUCCUUAUAGUCCGAGGAUACAGAAUCUCUUAAAAAUCACCAACUUGAGAAUCAAGUUUGUGAAGCUCCACACUUUGGGAGAUAACCUUUUGGAUUCCCGGAUGGAAAUCAGGGAAAAGUAUUACUAUGCAGUUUAUGAUAUGGUGGUUCGAGGAAAUUGCUUCUGCUACGGUCAUGCCAGCGAAUGCGCCCCUGUGGAUGGAAUCAAUGAAGAAGUAGAAGGAAUGGUUCAUGGGCACUGCAUGUGCAGGCAUAAUACCAAGGGCUUAAACUGUGAGCUGUGCAUGGAUUUCUACCACGAUUUACCUUGGAGACCCGCUGAAGGUCGAAACAGCAAUGCCUGUAAAAAGUGUAACUGCAAUGAACAUUCGAGCUCGUGCCACUUUGACAUGGCCGUGUACUUGGCCACCGGCAAUGUCAGCGGAGGGGUGUGCGAUGACUGUCAGCACAACACCAUGGGACGCAAUUGUGAACAGUGCAAGCCGUUUUACUUCCAGCACCCGGAGAGAGACGUCCGAGACCCUCACCUCUGUGAACGAUGUACCUGUGACCCAGCUGGAUCUCAGAAUGGGGGAAUCUGUGACAGUUACACCGAUUUUUCUGCUGGACUCAUUGCCGGCCAGUGUCGGUGUAAAUUACACGUGGAAGGAGAACAUUGUGAACUUUGCAAAGAGGGCUUCUACGGCUUAAGUGCUGAAGAUCCAUUUGGUUGUAAAUCUUGUGCCUGCAAUCCUCUGGGAACGAUUCCUGGCGGGAAUCCUUGUGAUUCUGAGACUGGUUACUGCUACUGUAAGCGUCUGGUGACAGGACAGCAUUGUGACCAGUGUCUGCCGGAGCACUGGGGUUUGAGCAAUGAUUUGGAUGGAUGUCGACCUUGUGACUGUGACCUUGGAGGGGCUUUAAACAACAGCUGUUCCCCUGAAUCGGGCCAGUGCGCGUGCCGACCGCACGUGAUCGGGCGUCAGUGCAACGAAGUGGAGUCUGGUUACUACUUCACCACCUUGGAUCACUACAUCUACGAAGCAGAAGAAGCCAACUUUGGGCCCGGGGUCAGCAUCGUGGAGCGGCAGUACGUUCAAGACCGGAUUCCUUCCUGGACGGGAGCCGGCUUCGUCCGAGUGCCUGAAGGGGCUUAUUUGGAGUUUUUCAUUGACAACAUACCAUAUUCCAUGGAGUAUGACAUCUUAAUUCGCUAUGAGCCACAGCUCCCCGACCGCUGGGAAAAAGCUGUCAUCAUGGUGCAGCGACCUGGAAAGAUCCCAACCAGCAGCCGAUGCGGUAAUACCAUUCCCGAUGAUGACAACCAGGUGGUGUCCUUAUCGCCUGGCUCAAGGUAUGUCGUCCUUCCGCGCCCCGUGUGCUUUGAGAAGGGUGUGAAUUACACGGUGAGGUUAGAGCUGCCUCAGUACACGUCCUCCGACAGCGACCUGGAGAGUCCCUACACGCUUAUUGACUCCCUUGUUCUCAUGCCGUUUUGUAAAUCACUGGAUAUCUUCACCGUGGGAGGAUCAGGGGACGGGUUGGUCACCAACAGCGCCUGGGAAACCUUUCAGAGAUACAGAUGUCUGGAGAACAGCAGAAGUGUUGUGAAAACACCAAUGACUGACGUGUGCAGAAACAUAAUCUUCAGCAUUUCUGCCCUGUUACACCAGACAGGCCUGGCUUGUGAAUGUGACCCCCAGGGCUCCUUAAGUUCCGUCUGCGAUCCCAAUGGAGGCCAGUGCCAGUGCCGGCCCAACGUGGUUGGAAGAACCUGCGACAGAUGUGCCCCGGGCACCUUCGGCUUUGGCCCCAGUGGCUGCAAACCUUGUGAGUGCCACCUGCAAGGGUCCGUCAACGCUUUCUGCGACCCCAUCACUGGCCAGUGCCACUGCUUCCAGGGGGUGUAUGCUCGGCAGUGUGACCGGUGCUUGCCCGGCUACUGGGGCUUCCCCAGCUGCCAGCCCUGCCAGUGUAACGGCCACGCCGACGACUGUGACUCUGCCACCGGGGCGUGCUCGGGCUGCCAGGACUACACCACGGGGCACAACUGUGAAAGGUGCUUGGCCGGUUACUAUGGCGAUCCCAUCAUUGGGUCAGGAGAUCACUGCCGCCCUUGUCCUUGCCCAGAUGGUCCCGACAGUGGACGCCAGUUCGCCAAUAGCUGCUAUCAAGAUCCUGUUACUUUACAGCUUGCCUGUGUCUGUAAUCCCGGAUACGUUGGCUCCAGAUGUGACGACUGUGCCUCAGGCUUCUUUGGCAAUCCCUCGGACGUGGGGGGCUCCUGUCAGCCUUGCGAGUGUCACGGCAACAUUGACACGACAGACCCGGAAGCCUGUGACAGGAAGACUGGAAGGUGCCUUAAGUGCCUGUACCACACGGAAGGGGACCAGUGCCAGCUCUGCCGACUCGGGUACUAUGGGGAUGCGCUCCGCCAGGACUGUCGAAAAUGUGUCUGCAAUUACCUGGGCACCGUGCAGGACCACUGCAACGGCUCUGACUGCCAGUGUGACAAAACCACCGGUCAGUGCUCGUGUCUUCCUAAUGUGGUCGGGCAGAACUGUGACCGCUGUGCGCCCAACACCUGGCAGCUGGCCAGCGGGACCGGGUGUGACCCGUGCAGCUGUGAUCCCGCUCAUUCCUUUGGGCCGUCGUGCAAUGAGUUCACGGGGCAGUGCCAGUGCAUGCCUGGGUUCGGAGGCCGCACCUGCAGCGAGUGCCAGGAGCUCUUCUGGGGAGACCCCAACGUGGAGUGCCGAGCCUGUGACUGUGACCCCAGGGGCAUCGAGACACCACAGUGUGACCAGUCCACCGGCCGGUGCGUCUGCGUGGAGGGUGUCGAGGGCCCGCGCUGUGACAAAUGCACACGCGGGUACUCGGGGGUCUUCCCCGACUGCACUCCCUGCCACCAGUGCUUUGCCGUGUGGGAUGUGAUCGUCGCCGAGUUGACCAAUCGGACCCAGAAGUUCCUGGAGAAAGCCAAGGCCCUGAAGAUCAGCGGCGUGAUUGGGCCUUACCGGGAGACUGUGGACUCGGUGGAGAAGAAAGUCAAUGAGAUCAGAGACAUCCUGGCCCAGAGCCCAGCCACGGAGCCGCUGAAGAACAUCGGGGAUCUCUUUGAGGAAGCAGAGAAAUUAACCAAAGAUGUUACAGACAAGAUGGCUCAAGUAGAAGUGAAAUUGUCUGACACAGCUUCCCAAAGCAACAGUACGGCCAGAGAACUAGAUUCUCUACAGACAGAAGCAGAAAGCCUAGACAACACAGUGAAAGAGCUUGCUGAGCAGUUGGAAUUUAUCAAAAACUCAGAUAUUCGGGGCGCCUUGGAUAGCAUCACCAAGUAUUUCCAGAUGUCUCUAGAGGCAGAGGAGAGGGUGAACGCCUCCACCACAGAUUCCAACAGCACUGUGGACCAGUCGACUCUCACUCGGGACAGAGUAGAAGAGUUGUUGUUGGAACGAGAAUCCCAGUUCAGGGAAAAACAAGAGGAACAGGCCCGCCUUCUGGAUGAACUGGCAGGCAAACUACAGAGUCUAGACCUUUCAGCCGUUGCCGAGAUGACCUGUGGGACGCCUCCAGGGGCCUCUUGUUCCGAGACCGAGUGUGGCGGCCCGAACUGCAGGACUGACGAAGGAGAGAAGAAGUGUGGGGGACCCGGCUGCGGCGGCCUGGUCACGGUCGCCCACAGUGCCUGGCAGAAAGCCAUGGACUUUGACCGCGAUGUCCUGAGCGCCCUGGCCGAGGUGGAGCAGCUCUCCAAGAUGGUCUCUGAAGCGAAACUGAGGGCAGACGAGGCAAAACAAAAUGCUCAGGAUGUUCUGCAGAAAACCAAUGCCACCAAAGAAAAAGUGGACAAGAGCAAUGAGGACCUGAGAAAUCUGAUCAAGCAAAUCCGAAACUUUUUGACCCAGGAUAGUGCUGAUUUGGACAGCAUUGAAGCAGUUGCUAACGAAGUGCUGAAAAUGGAAAUGCCCAGCACCCCAGAGCAGUUACAGAACUUGACAGAAGACAUUCGGGAGCGAGUUGAAAGCCUUUCUCAAGUAGAGGUUAUUCUACAGCAAAGCGCUGCUGACAUUGCCAGAGCGGAGAUGUUGCUAGAAGAAGCUAAAAGAGCCAGCAAAAGUGCAACUGAUGUUAAAGUCACUGCAGACAUGGUCAAGGAGGCUCUGGAGGAAGCAGAAAAGGCCCAGAUUGCAGCAGAGAAAGCAAUUAAACAAGCAGAUGAAGACAUCCAGGGAACCCAGAACCUGCUGACUUCGAUUGAGUCGGAAACAGCGGCUUCGGAGGAGAACUUGCUCAAUGCCUCCCAGCGCAUCAGCGAGCUUGAGAGGAAUGUGGAAGAACUGAAACGGAAGGCUGCCCAGAACUCUGGGGAGGCAGAAUAUAUUGAGAAAGUAGUAUACACCGUGAAACAAAGUGCGGAUGAUGUUAAGAAGGCAAGUAAAUCCUUGUGACUUCACAGCUGUGUUUUGUAAAGGAGCAAUAAGCCUCCUCAACCGCCUUCCCUGGGAUUCGUAAGGGAUGUGGACCUAUCAGAAACAUCCCAAGUGACCGGUUUUGAAACAACAGUCUUUAGAGGCACAGAUGGAAAGGGUGGGAGUGGAUAGGGAAGUGUCCAGUAAGCGUGACCUAAGCCCUCAUAUCCAAACUUGGAUAAGGGUGCAGAAAAAUGAAAGUAACUUGGGGGGGGGGGGGGGAGUCUUUUAUUAUUUAACUGUUUGAUUUAGAGAGAGGGAAUCCCAAGCAAGCUCCACGCCGUCAGUGCAAGGCCUGCCACAGGGCUCAGUAUCACAAACUGUGUGAGAUCAUGACCUGAGCUGAAAUCAACCGACUGAGCCAUGCAGGCUCCCCAGGGGCAGAAGUCUUAAAACCGGCGUACUGAGCUUGUACUUUAUGGCGUAAUUACCUGGCCUUUAAAAGCAGGGUAGAAAAAGCUUAAGGGGUUCACACCAGAACAGCUGGCAGGGAACUAAACCUCACCCCUUCUUCUCGCUGGAAGGUGCUGUAUUUUGCAGAGAAGGUCUCCUAGGAUUCCCAUUUGUCAUUAGAAGCCAAGUUAUCACUGAAAACAUGUUUAGUGGGCAAAUGUCUCUCUCCAAAGGAACCUUUUAAACUUCUGAGGGGAGCAUUCAACCCUUGACGUCUGGUUAGGGAAGAGAACAAAACAGUGAGAAAAGUGUUCUGUCCUGUUCAUUUUUCUGUCAUGGUUUGUACUUUCUUGCAGCUCUGAGAGCAUAAAUCUCUCAAGCAGUCUUUACAGAGCAUUUUUGCAAAAAUAUAGCACUUGAUUACAGUAAGAACAAAACCCUGAAAUGAAAUCCCUCUAUCAAAUGGCUGUUGUUGGAACCGUGUUCCCCAAAAGCAGCACUUGUGGUGCCUUUUCAGUUUCACAGCUCCUCGCCCACCCCUGUGCCCUGUGUGCAUGCUAGUCUCCCCUAUCCUUCCUUAACUCUCUACGCACCCGGGUCCAGAUCCAGAUGGCCCUUGUCUGAGAUCUAAGUGAUUAGAUCUCAGCAAAUCUACUUUAGAGAAAAAUAUACUUCUCUACCUCCAUAUAACUGUCCUAUAACAUCUCCAGAAAAGUGCUAACCUAAAGGCUUAGCCCUAGAGACCUGCUUACAACUCCACACGUGAGUUUAAAAACUCAUGUUGGUGUUAUAUUUAAUUUCACUGUUCCACAAUAUUUUCAACAUAUUUACACUGAAUAGCUCAACGCCUGAGUACGGUUCCAAGCUUGCUCCAAUUACACUAGGCUCUUGAUGUCUGAGAUUACAUUUAUCACCUCUUUGUGUCUCGAUGGAACUACAGGCUCUGGAUGGUGAAGUUGAUGAAAAGUAUAAGAAAGUAGAAAAAUUAAUUGCCCAAAAAACUGAAGAGUCAGCUGAUGCCAGAAGAAAAGCUGAAAUGCUACAAAAUGAAGCAAAAACACUUUUGGCUCAAGCAAACAGCAAACUGCAGCUCCUGAAAGAUUUAGAAAGAAAAUAUGAGGACAAUCAAAAAUAUUUAGAAGAUAAAGCUCAAGAAUUAGUAAGACUGGAAGGAGAAGUCCGUUCGCUCCUCCAGGAUAUAAGCCAGAAAGUUGCUGUUUACAGCACCUGCUUGUAACAAAGGGCUGCAAGGUGGCUGAGGUGACCAAAGUAAAAUAGCUACAUUUUAAAAACUGACAAUGAUCUUCAAAAGUAAAACUGAUUACCUAUUUAAUGUUUUUAAUCACCACAUUUUGUAUGGAGUUAAAUAAAGUACAGUGCUUUUGUAUAAAUCUA
Molecule: RNA transcript, 7150 nt
Organism: Acinonyx jubatus (cheetah)
Lineage: Eukaryota; Metazoa; Chordata; Mammalia; Carnivora; Felidae
Gene: LAMB1
Gene name: laminin subunit beta 1
Exons: 32
Source: RefSeq, a predicted model, not a curated record